GCUGGCGGCGUGCCUAAUACAUGCAAGUCGAGCGAACAGAUGAGAAGCUUGCUUCUCUGAUGUUAGCGGCGGACGGGUGAGUAACACGUGGGUAACCUACCUAUAAGACUGGGAUAACUCCGGGAAACCGGGGCUAAUACCGGAUAAUAUUUUGAACCGCAUGGUUCAAUAGUGAAAGACGGUUUCGGCUGUCACUUAUAGAUGGACCCGCGCCGUAUUAGCUAGUUGGUAAGGUAACGGCUUACCAAGGCGACGAUACGUAGCCGACCUGAGAGGGUGAUCGGCCACACUGGAACUGAGACACGGUCCAGACUCCUACGGGAGGCAGCAGUAGGGAAUCUUCCGCAAUGGGCGAAAGCCUGACGGAGCAACGCCGCGUGAGUGAUGAAGGUCUUCGGAUCGUAAAACUCUGUUGUUAGGGAAGAACAAAUUUGUUAGUAACUGA
Molecule: ribosomal RNA, 445 nt
Filed under: Mammaliicoccus sciuri
Lineage: Bacteria; Bacillati; Bacillota; Bacilli; Caryophanales; Staphylococcaceae
Description: bacterial SSU rRNA
Rfam family: Bacterial small subunit ribosomal RNA
Source: RNAcentral